Molecule: ribosomal RNA, 253 nt
Filed under: uncultured bacterium
Lineage: Bacteria
Description: partial 16S ribosomal RNA
Rfam family: Bacterial small subunit ribosomal RNA
Source: RNAcentral
UACGUAGGUGGCAAGCGUUGUCCGGAUUUACUGGGCGUAAAGAGCGCGCAGGCGGUCGUUCAAGUCGCGUGUGAAAGCCCCCGGCUCAACUGGGGAGGGUCACGCGAUACUGAUCGACUCGAAGGCAGGAGAGGGUAGUGGAAUUCCCGGUGUAGUGGUGAAAUGCGUAGAUAUCAGGAGGAACACCGAUUGCGAAGGCAGCUCGCUGGGACGUUACUGACGCUGAGACGCGAAAGCGUGGGGAGCAAACAGG